GAUGAAGAACGUAGUGAAAUGCGAUAAGUAAUGUGAAUUGCAGAAUUCAGUGAAUCAUCGAAUCUUUGAACGCACAUUGCGCCCGCCAGUAUUCUGGCGGGCAUGCCUGUCUGAGCGUCAUUUCAACCCUCAAGCAACUUCUGCUUGGUGUUGGGGAUCGGCCGUCAAACGCCGCCCCCGAAAUCUAUUGGCGAUCUCGCUGUAGCUUCCUAUGCGUAGUAGUAACAUCUCGCAUCUGGAGAGCGGCGCGGUCAUGCCGUAAAACACCCAACUUCGCAGGUUGACCUCAGAUCAGGUAGGAAUACCCGCUGAACUUAAGCAUAUCAAUAAGCGGAGGA
This 338-nucleotide unclassified non-coding RNA is filed under the name soil metagenome. Its description in RNAcentral is "partial contains 5.8S ribosomal RNA, internal transcribed spacer 2, and large subunit ribosomal RNA". The stretch from base 1 to 120 matches the Rfam family "5.8S ribosomal RNA", at positions 35 to 154 of the family's 154-position model. The record is from RNAcentral.